RNAcentral lists this long non-coding RNA (280 nucleotides) under Lathyrus oleraceus (garden pea). RNAcentral's name for it is "Pisum sativum (pea) long non-coding RNA (PSAT_LNC022029)". The record is from RNAcentral. Lineage: Eukaryota; Viridiplantae; Streptophyta; Magnoliopsida; Fabales; Fabaceae.
UUUGAUACUGUUAAACCCAGUUCUUAGACCAGAGUAUUCAUGUUAGUCGAUGGAUUUUUUUCUUUCAAUUGAUGGUGGUUUUUGAUGUCAUAAUUUAUCUUGAAUUUGUCUUUUUUAUUUACUUUUAUAUAUUAUAUUUGUUUUUAUAAAAAAAAAGUCAUCAAAAUUUUUACAUUAACAAAGAAACUUAAAAUCUCACAUUAAAUAAACUCUUUAGCAACUUAAUUGAUCUCUAUUGUUAACAUUAUGGGUGGACAAGAACUGGUAACCCGGUCCAAAC